GGCCUCUAGAGCUUUAAUACCAGAAUCAAUUGUGGUUAUUGCAAUUACCUGACACACCAUCAUCAAAAGCCAAUAAAGCUAGAACCUGAAAUAGAGAUCCAAUAUCCAUCACAAGAGGGGGAAAUGAAGGUGAUGGAGUUGAUGAUAUGUGAUGGAGACUGCAGUUAAAGGAGGUCGAGGAGAGGGUUCAGAACUAAAAUUAAGGUAAGAGGGAGUGAUCUAUUGUAGUGUAGAGGGG
Molecule: unclassified non-coding RNA, 238 nt
Filed under: Hevea brasiliensis (rubber tree)
Lineage: Eukaryota; Viridiplantae; Streptophyta; Magnoliopsida; Malpighiales; Euphorbiaceae
Source: RNAcentral